This 680-nucleotide long non-coding RNA is filed under the name Ursus maritimus (polar bear). RNAcentral describes it as "lncRNA (ENSUMAG00000009915.1)". Lineage: Eukaryota; Metazoa; Chordata; Mammalia; Carnivora; Ursidae. The record is from RNAcentral.
AUUUAAGAGUGUGUAUCUUGCCUCUUAACAAUUAAACUACCGCAUAAACGUCUAAAAGGCAGGACCCCGAUAAUUCCGUGACGGCACACCUUGACCGUGAAGAACAAGACUGAUUCUAACAGACCCGCUUGAACGUGGUGCCCGUGAUCUUAACACCUUGGGAGGCCUCUAACGUUGCCUUUGCACCAACUGCUCCAGACUGGCCUUCAGAGACUACUUAAAACCUCAGGAAACUCUGCGAUUGAGGAGGGGAGGAGAGUCAGUGACAGCCUGAGUGACAUUAGGCCAACAGCUUUGUGGGAAGGAUUUGAAGGUGAGGAAACUAAAGCCCUGGGAUGUUUAGGGUUGCUGCCGAGCUGGGACGCGCACGCGGGCCUCCGGGUUCUAACACCCAUGAGCUUCACUGCCGCACCAUAGUGCCUGGAGCAGUUUCUGGAACGGGCUCAACAAAUGCUCCCACUUACGACUCUGGAAGAAGACAGACCUGGCAGCUGGGCAUCUCUGAAGAGCAGACAGAACACUUUCUGGAGAUGCCAGGACCCUGGGCUAGGUAGGUUAAAGGAGUGCCAGGCCCCCAACCCGUCUCUCCCUACAGAGCGGCACUGUCCACUAUGGUGGCCACUAAUCACAUAUAAUAUUUACAUUUAAAUUAAAAACAUUUUUUAAUUAAAAGAGAGCAC